Molecule: ribosomal RNA, 253 nt
Filed under: uncultured bacterium
Lineage: Bacteria
Description: partial 16S ribosomal RNA
Rfam family: Bacterial small subunit ribosomal RNA
Source: RNAcentral
UACGUAGGGUGCAAGCGUUGUCCGGAAUUACUGGCGUAAAGCGUGCGCAGGCGGCUUUGCAAGACAGAUGUGAAAUCCCCGGGCUACAACCUGGGAACUGCAUUUGUGACUGCAUGGCUAGAGUACGGUAGAGGGGGAUGGAAUUCCGCGUGUAGCAGUGAAAUGCGUAGAUAUGCGGAGGAACACCGAUGGCGAAGGCAAUCCCCUGGACCUGUACUGACGCUCAUGCACGAAAGCGUGGGGAGCAAACAGG